Trifolium pratense (red clover) is the source of this 622-nucleotide long non-coding RNA. RefSeq lists it as uncharacterized. NCBI's taxonomy places the organism in Eukaryota, Viridiplantae, Streptophyta, Magnoliopsida, Fabales, Fabaceae. The transcript is spliced from 3 exons. The record is from RefSeq and is a predicted model, not a curated record.
UGGUAGCAUUGAAUGAAGAUUGGAUAUUCUAAGUUCACGUUUUAAAUUGUGAAGGUUUUAAAUUGGAUAUUCGUUUUCAUGUGUUUUGGGUUCCUGUUCUUCAUCUCUUAGUAAGUUGUUUAUGGUUAUGGUAUCUCUAGCUAAACAAUGGUUAAAAGAAGUGAAAAGUAUUAAGCAGAAACAGAAAAUAGACAACAUGUGAUUAGAAGAAAGUUAAGGAUAAUUUUCCUUCUGGUCUUUCUAUGUUAAUGUUUGUUAUGUGACAAAGAAAUGUUUGUUAUUCACAUUAGUAAGGUUUGUUUAUUAUGCUAAGCUUUUUUGUUUGUGAUUUAUGUCUUUGAUUAGGUAUGCAGUGAAAGAAAGUAGCAUUUCUCAUUCUAAGGAUAGUUCCAUGGAAAGGAAUUAAGGACUAAUUUGGGGAAAUGAGAUAAAGUAGUAGAACUCACUUUGAUUUCACAUAUGACUCUUUGUCAACAUAUUUAUUCAAAUUUGUGGCCAGUUAUGAAGGGUCAUUCAAGGUUUGUUUGUACAACCUGGAGAUACUUGAGGCAGCCAGCCAAUAAGAAGCGGCGCCUGCCUACGUUCACUUGGUUUACCACAAGCACCUUCACCUCCUACACAG